GUUCGACGCGGGUUCCCCUGAAAUAUAAACGUCUCCCGCGGCCACGAAGAUGUCAGACGCGGCUUGUAUGUGCAGGACUGACGAUGCGAAACGCCCGCAAAGCAAAGCGAACAACCUAGCUGAGGAAAAAAAAGACAGAACGUGGGUAGUAAGCCAUCAUUCGCCGUUGUAUCACACUGUCAGGUGCGAAGAGUAGGGGUUUUCAUAUGCAUGCUGCAACACUUAUGGUGUGGAAAGUCCAGGCAUCCAUGAGUGCGAAUAGCAGGCAAUGCUCCGUGUGUCUGGAUGACAAAGUAGCCACAGCAUGUGAGGAAGUCCCCAGAAAAGAAGCAACGUCAGGGGUGUGUAAAAAGACGCCAUGUCCCCGAUGUCACACUCUGCUCUCAGCAUAUCUGCAAGGAACC
This 404-nucleotide long non-coding RNA is filed under the name Toxoplasma gondii VEG. The record is from RNAcentral. Lineage: Eukaryota; Apicomplexa; Conoidasida; Eucoccidiorida; Sarcocystidae.